Vombatus ursinus (common wombat) is the source of this 2057-nucleotide long non-coding RNA. RefSeq lists it as uncharacterized. The record is from RefSeq and is a predicted model, not a curated record. The transcript is spliced from 3 exons. Lineage: Eukaryota; Metazoa; Chordata; Mammalia; Diprotodontia; Vombatidae.
CCCUGAAUAUAAUAGGAGAUGCACAAAAGUUUGAUUAGACAAAAAACUGCUGUGGUAGCAGUCAUUUAAUAGUGGGCUAACAAUUGGUAUCAAGGGACUUCAACUUGUGGGAGAUCCGAGGGGAAGUUAGAGCUGUAAUGGCAGCAAGGGUGGUCAUAGUGGGGGUUUGGAGGAGAGGGGCAGUGUUGAAGCCUCAAUGAAAUUCUCUCAUCACCACUGAUGCUUCCUUCUCCCCUUCCAGGCUGGCACUGAAUGUGUCUUUAAGGAAACUCAGCAGAGAGUCACAAGUAGCAGAAUCACCAUCAUUAAACUAAUCCUGCCACACUUUCAGUUUAAAAGAAUUCCAGGUUAGGAAGCUUCUUUCCUUCCAUGGAUUGCCUCUGAAGUCAAGGAGUAGCUGAUCUUGGACUGAGUCACAGAAUUCCUCCAGCCAGGUUUUAUGGAAUGUGAACUUGCUUCUGUCUCUCAGGUUGGCUGGCUGUGGCCAUUGUACAGAAGCUACAUAUUUGAGUGAUCUCAGAAGGGCUCGAGGAGGGAAGAAAGUAUCCAGCCACCACCCACCUACAAGAUGCCUUUGUGGCUCAAGUGAAAUGCCAGUUCUUGGGUGGACUGCUGGGCUCUCCUUUCCUUAUUUCUCAUAUUAAACAAGCAGCAAAUUUCUUACCUCCCUGGGAUUGUUUUAAAGCUAAAAAAACACUCCCCAGUCUGGGACUUUAGCUCAUCUGAAAUUUGCAGAUUGACCAUGCGAGUAACUCUGUGGGCAAGAUCGCUGGCCUCUGCUGUUUAUUGUGCAAGUGAUAAACUGCCAGUCUUUGAGCACAAGACCAGAUGUAGACAGAAUGUGCCCCUGUCUGAGGGGAGGGCUGGUCCCCAGGGGAGGGGAUGGGUCAAGUUCAUAUCUGUGGUUUGUUUCCCUCUGAAAACCCCUACAGAAAAAAAAAAACAUAGGAAAGCAUUCUUUGGUGGUAUUUUCUUGGAAAGUGACUACUGCAUUUGCUAUUAUGAGGAACCACUAUGUGGACCCUGCUUGUCUUCUGCCGGGGAACUCCUGGCAGGCCAGUGUAGUCAGAGUUCCUACUCAAACAGGCAACAGAAGGCCAAGGUUUGAGGUGGACCAUCACAUAAUUUCAAAGUUGAAAGGGGUCUCUGAGGUCAUCUAGUCCAAGAAGAAUCCCCUUUAUGUUAUUUAUGACAAGUGGUCAUUUGGCCUUUGCUAAAACACCCCUGCUCAGAAAGUGGCAGCUGAUUCUACCUUUUGUCAUUAAAGGAAGAUUCUUUACAUUGAAUUGAAAUUUACCUUCAGCUUCCACAGAAACACAGAGAAGAGAAGACGGUAGGCUUAAAGUCACAUAAUAGGCUGGAUGAGAGUGGUGAUUGAAACUUGGGCAUUUCAUAGGCACGUGCCCAGCCCACGUCUCCAAUCUUGCCUCUGUAUGUGAGCAUAGAUAUAGCAUUCUAAAUAUGGCAUUUAUGGAAUAGACAAUAGACCUGUUCACUACCACUCUCUGCCUCCUUAGCUCCCUUUUCCAGUAUGUGAGGAUGCCCGCCAUCCUUGUUCUGCCCUCCCUAUUCUUUUCUCCCCACUUCUCAAAGGAAAUGUUGGGAGGUACUUUUUUCAAGUGAAAGGGGCAACCAGUCUGGCCAAGUUGAGAUGUUUACAGUCCCAUGGUGAGUUGUCAUUCCAGCUUUGCUUGCCCUCAUGGGCUCCUCUCCAGCUAAGACUCCAGUUUACGUAAAGAGCAAAAACUGAAAGCAAAGUGUGCUAUAAAUUUCACUGACACCAUGGACUAGGUUGGGAUUUCAAUAAUAUACUUGGCUCCAUUUUCCUUCAAAGCCUCUAUCUCUCCUUUCCCCACUCCUCUCUUGGCUGUGUUAUUUCCUUGCCUCAGUCUAUGAAGUUCACCAUCAAGGAGAUUUUGGAUACUGUUGGAUUAGAUGAAUAGAUCCACCUUGCAGUAUGGCAGAAUAACUUAUUACAUAUUUGAAGAGCCCACAGUCUCAUCUCUUCCUUUAAGCUGUUCUAUGAGAAUAUGAAUUUCUACUUUAUCCCCUGUGAU